RNAcentral lists this non-coding RNA (24 nucleotides) under Arabidopsis thaliana (thale cress). The record is from RNAcentral. Lineage: Eukaryota; Viridiplantae; Streptophyta; Magnoliopsida; Brassicales; Brassicaceae.
UAAAAACACUGUAUUUUUUUGUGC